UACGGAGGGUCCAAGCGUUGUUCGGAAUUACUGGGCGUAAAGCGCACGUAGGCGGAUUCGUAAGUCAGAUGUGAAAGCCCCGGGCUCAACCUGGGAAUUGCAUUUGAAACUGCGAACCUUGAAUGCUUGAGAGGGUGACGGAAUUCCUGGUGUAGAAGUGAAAUUCGUAGAUAUCAGGAGGAACACCGGAGGCGAAGGCGGUUGCCUGGCGAUGCAUUGACGCUGAGGUGCGAAAGCGUGGGUAGCAAACAGG
RNAcentral lists this ribosomal RNA (253 nucleotides) under uncultured bacterium. RNAcentral's name for it is "partial 16S ribosomal RNA". It matches the Rfam family "Bacterial small subunit ribosomal RNA", at positions 524 to 776 of the family's 1533-position model. The record is from RNAcentral.